UUUUUUUUUUUUUUUUUUUUGAUUUUUAGGGCCACAUCUGUGACAUUUGGAAGUUCUCAGGCUAGGGGUCAAAUGGGAGCUAUAGCUCCGGUCUACGCCACAGCCACAGCACGGUGGGAUCAAAGCCGUGUCUACAGCCUACACCACAGCUCUUGGCAAUGCCAGAUCUCCAACCCCCUGAGCGAGGCCAGGGAUCAAACCCACGUCCUCAUGGAUACUAGUCAGGCUUGUUAACCGCUGAGCCACAAAGGGAACUCCUUUUUUCAAGAGUUUUUUAGCUAACAGGAAAAUGGAUUUGUGAGUGUUGUUCACGGCAGAUCUGUUGAAGGAGAGUUAUUCAUUUGAAAAAAAAAAAAUAGCUUACUUAACUGACAUUUUUGGAGCACCUGAAUGAACUUAAUUGAAAAUCGCAAAGGCUGUGUAAAUAAUAUUACAUAUACUCACAGAGCUUAUGGAUUUGAAGCAAAAGUUCAGCUUUGGAAAAGGGAUAAAAAUGAUUCAUUUGUGAUAUUUAGUCAGUGUUACAUUUUAAAUCCUAAGGGAAAAUUAUUGACUGUUAGAGCAGUACCUGUAUAUACUUGCAGUCAAUUUUAUCAUUAUUUAAAAAUACUUCAUAUGAAACAAUCUAAAAAACAUUUGUUUCCAUAAGGAAUUUCAACAUUAUAUUUAAGGAAAUUGAGGAAAAGAAGGACCAUAUUUAAUCAAUGUAUCCCUCAUGGUUCAUGACAAGAAAGAACUUGCUGUCAAUUGGAGAAAAAGUGAUGAAUUCUGGGCUACCAUUUGCUACCACCAACUUUUGUGAAUAAAAUUUGCCUUGAUGGGUAAAAAUCAAGCAUUUGAUAUCUCAGUCAUAAAACUUGUUAUACAAAAGGCAUUUCAUGCAAACAAACUCACAUUUCAUGUUAAAGAUUUUUUUUUAAUAUUUUGUGUGGUAAUUUUAGGUGUGUUUAAUAGUCACUGUGUGUCCCAAAACUCUUUAUUUCAUUUUUCUUCUCAUAAUUAUAUGCUAUAAAGAAAAUGUAGCAUGUAAUUUUUUCACCAAGGUCCAUAUAGACAUUUCCAAACUCUCUCUAGUAUAUCCCACCGUGCAUGUGUGAGAAGGAUAUAGACCCUAAAUGCUUCUAAGAAAAAUUGUUCCUGAAAUUAAAAUUCAGCAAGGGCCUAGAAUGGCCAAAGAACAAAUUCAGCAGAUUUAUGAACAAACUUGCACUCAUAAACUUUUUUUUUUUUUUUGGCCAUGCCCAUAGCAUGCAGAAGUUCUGGGGCUAAUGAUCAAACCCAUGCCACAGGAGUAACAACACCUGAUCCUUAACCCACCGAGACACUAGGGGACUCGGUGACAGUUUUUCCCUACCUUCCUCCCUCUCGCUUCUUCGUUAAUAGAUAGCGAGUUCCCUAACAAACAUUGUUCUGUUUCCGUAGAAGGAAAAGGUCUGUUCGCACUGUGAACUAUUUCUUCUUUCCCAAAAUGCCUUAAGAAAUAGCAAUUAAUGCGGAAAAAAAUAACAAAAAGUCAAAGGGAUAUUUAGCACAAAAAUAUUUUACAAUCUUCUCUCAUAAUUGUUUUUAAGUAUGGGUGUUGUUUUACUUAGGCAAAAAUUAUAAACCGUAUGUGUGUAUUUGCACCUCUUCAUUCAUAUGGUUUAUGCAAUGCUAUUAACUGUUAAUACAUUAAUAUAUAAGAUCCGUGGUUUGCUGUUAAUAUUUUAUAAGGAUAUUAUGGUUUUAUGGUUAAUAUCAAUUUGAGGUAUUGCUUUAAGAGUCAAAAGUACUUUAAAAUAAUUAUUUUGCUGGUGUUUACUUUUGUUUUAAUCAUGUUAACAAAGUUUUAUGUAGGUUAGAACACAGUAACUACAUAUUAUAUAUGUAAACUAUGCAAUGGCUCUAGUAAUAAAUUUCUUGUUUAAUAUUAGGAUUUUUUUUUUUUGCCAUAGACAUUUAAUUGUGUAUAGAGUUGUUUUAAAUGUGAAUGAUCCAGUUGAUCAAGCCUGUUUUUUCAGUUGUCUAAGGCAAUUUAUUUCCAUUUCUUCUGUGUUAAGAAAUCCUGGAAUUUCUACUUAAGUUCUUUGAGCACUUAUGCAAAAUUAAUGUUUUAAUGUAAAGAAGACUGUUCGUCGGAAAAACUUUUCCAGCUAAGUUCUUUGUUUUUAAAAUAAUAGAAUUUCAACUUUAUUACAUGUCUGAUAAAAUAGCAUGACUUUCAUGAAACAACAACACAGUAUCUCCAUAGAUAGGGUAUUUAUGUAAACUUAUUGACUCAGUUAUAGUAUCAAUCUCUGGUUAACACCAGGUUGGUACAGUUCACUGAAACGCAUGUUUGGGAGAGACUGAGUACAUUGAUAACUAUUCCUUUGAAAUAUCUAUUAAUAUAGCUGAUUAGAACAUUACCUUAAGGAAGUUUUGUUUUGUUUUCUGUUUUGCUUUUUAGGUUUUUUAGGGCCGUACCUGCGGCAUAUGGAGUUUCCCAGUCUAGGGGUCAAAUCAGAGCUAUAGCUGCCAUCCUAUGCCACAGCCACAGCAACGCCAGAUCUGAGCCGAAUCUGCAACCUACAACACAGCUCAUGGCAAUGCCAGAUCCUUAAUCCACUGAGGAAGGCCAGGGAUCAAACCUGUACUCUCAUGGACAUCAGUCGGAUUCAUUCCGCUGCGCCACAAAGGGAACUCCUUAAGGAAGUACUUUUUAAAAAUUAUUAAUAGGUUUUAUUUUUAAAACAUUUCAAUUUACAGGAAAAUUGAACACAAAGUUCAGAGUCCCAUAUCCUUCCCACCCCCGAAGUUUUCCAUAGUGUUGACAUCUUGCAUUAAUAUAGCAUAUUUGCUACCAAAUAAUGAUACAUGACUGUAAAAGUCCUUAACUUACUUUAAGAUUCCCUCUUUGUGUAGAGGUGGCCUGUAGAUAUUUGGUGAAUGUUUAUUCUGACCUUAUCUCUGUAAGGUGUCAUAGGAAACAAAAGAACAAGCACUUACUGUCAAGAACCCAAAAUGAGGAGUUCCUGUUGUGGGUCAGCAGAAACAAAUCCAACUAGUAUCCAUGAUGAUGCAGAUUGAUCCCUGGCCUCGCUCAGUGGGUUAAGAAUUCGGCAUUGCCAUGAGCUGUGGUGUAGGUCAGAGAUGUGGCUCAGAUCCUGAGUUACUGUGGCUGUGGGGUAGGCUGGCAACUGUAGCUCUGAUUAGACUCCUAGUCUGGGAACUUCCAUAAGCCUCGACUGAGGCACUAAAAAGGAAAAGAAGACAAAAUUAGUUUAUGUCUGCUUAUGGAGAGGAGAUCUGGUCACACGAAACCAUUAAUAAAUAGACAUUAUUUAUUAUGGUUAUUAUCAGAAUAAAAAUGAAGGGCUAAUAUGUGUUUCCAUGGACAGGAAAUGUAAAAACAAAAAUAAAAAAGAAUUUAGCUGAAGUUCCCAUUGUGGCUCAGUGAAAAUAAAUUUGGCUAGUAUCCAUGAGGACAUAAGUUCGAUUCCUGGCCUUGCUCAGUGGGUUAAGGAUCUGGAGUUACCAUGAGCCAGGGUGUAGGUCUCAGAUGUGGCUUGGAUCCCGCAUUGCUGUGACUUUGGCAUAGGCUGGCAGCUGUAGUUCCGAUUCGACCCCUAGCCUGGGAACCUCCAUAUGCCACAAGUGCGGCC
This 3623-nucleotide long non-coding RNA is filed under the name Sus scrofa (pig). RNAcentral's name for it is "lncRNA (ENSSSCG00040024427.1)". The record is from RNAcentral. Lineage: Eukaryota; Metazoa; Chordata; Mammalia; Artiodactyla; Suidae.